RNAcentral lists this ribosomal RNA (279 nucleotides) under Acinetobacter haemolyticus. RNAcentral describes it as "partial 16S ribosomal RNA". It matches the Rfam family "Bacterial small subunit ribosomal RNA", at positions 1 to 281 of the family's 1533-position model. The record is from RNAcentral. Lineage: Bacteria; Pseudomonadati; Pseudomonadota; Gammaproteobacteria; Moraxellales; Moraxellaceae.
UAAACUGAAGAGUUUGAUCAUGGCUCAGAUUGAACGCUGGCGGCAGGCUUAACACAUGCAAGUCGAGCGGGGAAGGGUAGCUUGCUACCUAACCUAGCGGCGGACGGGUGAGUAAUGCUUAGGAAUCUGCCUAUUAGUGGGGGACAACAUUCCGAAAGGAAUGCUAAUACCGCAUACGUCCUACGGGAGAAAGCAGGGGAUCUUCGGACCUUGCGCUAAUAGAUGAGCCUAAGUCGGAUUAGCUAGUUGGUGGGGUAAAGGCCUACCAAGGCGACGAUC